RNAcentral lists this ribosomal RNA (253 nucleotides) under uncultured bacterium. Its description in RNAcentral is "partial 16S ribosomal RNA". It matches the Rfam family "Bacterial small subunit ribosomal RNA", at positions 524 to 776 of the family's 1533-position model. The record is from RNAcentral.
UACGUAGGGACCAAGCGUUGUUCGGAAUUACUGGGCGUAAAGCGCACGUAGGCGGACCGAUAAGUCGGGGGUGAAAUCCUGGAGCUCAACUCCAGAACUGCCUCCGAAACUGCCGGCCUUGAGUUCGGGAGAGGUGAGUGGAACUGCGAGUGUAGAGGUGAAAUUCGUAGAUAUUCGCAAGAACACCAGUGGCGAAGGCGGCUCACUGGCCCGAUACUGACGCUGAGGUGCGAAAGCGUGGGGAGCAAACAGG